CCCGAGUGCUUGCACUCAAUUGGAAAGAGGAGUGGCGGACGGGUGAGUAACACGUGGGUAACCUGCCCAUCAGAAGGGGAUAACACUUGGAAACAGGUGCUAAUACCGUAUAACACUAUUUUCCGCAUGGAAGAAAGUUGAAAGGCGCUUUUGCGUCACUGAUGGAUGGACCCGCGGUGCAUUAGCUAGUUGGUGAGGUAACGGCUCACCAAGGCAACGAUGCAUAGCCGACCUGAGAGGGUGAUCGGCCACACUGGGACUGAGACACGGCCCAGACUCCUACGGGAGGCAGCAGCAGGGAAUCUUCGGCAAUGGACGAAAGUCUGACCGAGCAACGCCGCGUGAGUGAAGAAGGUUUUCGGAUCGUAAAACUCUGUUGUUAGAGAAGAACAAGGAUGAGAGUAAAAUGUUCAUCCCUUGACGGUAUCUAACCAGAAAGCCACGGCUAACUACGUGCCAGCAGCCGCGGUAAUACGUAGGUGGCAAGCGUUGUCCGGAUUUAUUGGGCGUAAAGCGAGCGCAGGCGGUUUCUUAAGUCUGAUGUGAAAGCCCCCGGCUCAACCGGGGAGGGUCAUUGGAAACUGGGAGACUUGAGUGCAGAAGAGGAGAGUGGAAUUCCAUGUGUAGCGGUGAAAUGCGUAGAUAUAUGGAGGAACACCAGUGGCGAAGGCGGCUCUCUGGUCUGUACUGACGCUGAGCUCGAAGCGUGGGAGCAACAGGAUAGAUACCUGGUAGUCACGCGUAA
This 745-nucleotide ribosomal RNA is filed under the name uncultured bacterium. RNAcentral describes it as "bacterial SSU rRNA". It matches the Rfam family "Bacterial small subunit ribosomal RNA", at positions 69 to 805 of the family's 1533-position model. The record is from RNAcentral.